This 253-nucleotide ribosomal RNA is filed under the name uncultured bacterium. RNAcentral describes it as "partial 16S ribosomal RNA". It matches the Rfam family "Bacterial small subunit ribosomal RNA", at positions 524 to 776 of the family's 1533-position model. The record is from RNAcentral.
UACGAGUGGAGCGAGCGUUGUUCGGAAUCACUGGGCGUAAAGCGUGCGCAGGCGGUUAUACAAGUCAGGAGUGAAAUCCCAGGGCUUAACCCUGGAAUUGCUCUUGAAACUGUAUGACUAGAAUCCCGGAGAGGUUGGCGGAAUUCUCAGUGUAGAGGUGAAAUUCGCAGAUAUUGAGAGGAACACCAGUGGCGUAAGCGGCCAACUGGACGGGUAUUGACGCUCAGGCACGAAAGCGUGGGGAUCAAACAGG